GAGGGUAUAGCUCAAGUGGUAGAGUGCAUGCUUAGCAUGCACAAGGCCCUGGGUUCAAUCCCCAGUAUCUCCU
Molecule: transfer RNA, 73 nt
Filed under: Camelus bactrianus (Bactrian camel)
Lineage: Eukaryota; Metazoa; Chordata; Mammalia; Artiodactyla; Camelidae
Also listed under: 3 other names
Rfam family: tRNA
About the family: Transfer RNA (tRNA) molecules are approximately 80 nucleotides in length.
Source: Rfam by way of RNAcentral